Molecule: ribosomal RNA, 274 nt
Filed under: uncultured bacterium
Lineage: Bacteria
Description: partial 16S ribosomal RNA
Rfam family: Archaeal small subunit ribosomal RNA
Source: RNAcentral
AAACCAGGACCUCAAGUGGUCAGGAGGAUUAUUGGGCCUAAAGCAUCCGUAGCCUGUUCUGUAAGUUUUCGGUUAAAUCCAUUAGCUCAACUAAUGGGCCGCCGAAAAUACUGUAGAACUAGGGAGUGGGAGAGGUAGACGGUAUUCGGUAGGAAGGGGUAAAAUCCUUUGAUCUAUUGAGGACCACCUGUGGCGAAGGCGGUCUACCAGAACACGUUCGACGGUGAGGGAUGAAAGCUGGGGGAGCAAACCGGAUUAGAAACCCGGGUAGUCC